GGAAAGAGCCCAGCACUGAAUCCCGCGGUUGUCACGGCCGCGGGAGAUGUGGUGUUCGGGAGGUUCCGCUUUCUCGUCGUCGCGUCUCCUGUCCAAGUUCGUCUUGAACGGGGCCGUUUUCCCGUAGAGGGUGCCAGGCCCGUAGCGACGGAGGGCGGCGGCGAGAGGGACUCUCCUCAGAGUCGGGUUGCUUGAGAGUGCAGCCCUAAGUGGGUGGUAAACUCCAUCUAAGGCUAAAUAUUACCGCGAGACCGAUAGCGAACAAGUACCG
Molecule: ribosomal RNA, 271 nt
Filed under: Deuterogonia pudorina
Lineage: Eukaryota; Metazoa; Arthropoda; Insecta; Lepidoptera; Oecophoridae
Also listed under: 3 other names
Description: partial 28S ribosomal RNA
Rfam family: Eukaryotic large subunit ribosomal RNA
Source: RNAcentral